GACGAACGCUGGCGGCGUGCUUAACACAUGCAAGUCGAACGGAAAGGCCCUGCUUUUGUGGGGUGCUCGAGUGGCGAACGGGUGAGUAACACGUGAGUAACCUGCCCUUGACUUUGGGAUAACUUCAGGAAACUGGGGCUAAUACCGGAUAGGAGCUCCUGCUGCAUGGUGGGGGUUGGAAAGUUUCGGCGGUUGGGGAUGGACUCGCGGCUUAUCAGCUUGUUGGUGGGGUAGUGGCUUACCAAGGCUUUGACGGGUAGCCGGCCUGAGAGGGUGACCGGCCACAUUGGGACUGAGAUACGGCCCAGACUCCUACGGGAGGCAGCAGUGGGGAAUAUUGCACAAUGGGCGGAAGCCUGAUGCAGCAACGCCGCGUGCGGGAUGACGGCCUUCGGGUUGUAAACCGCUUUCGCCUGUGACGAAGCGUGAGUGACGGUAAUGGGGAAAGAAGCACCAGCUAACUACGU
Molecule: ribosomal RNA, 467 nt
Filed under: uncultured bacterium
Lineage: Bacteria
Description: partial 16S ribosomal RNA
Rfam family: Bacterial small subunit ribosomal RNA
Source: RNAcentral